This 85-nucleotide transfer RNA is filed under the name Lentinula lateritia. Its description in RNAcentral is "tRNA-His". It matches the Rfam family "tRNA". From Rfam's summary of the family: Transfer RNA (tRNA) molecules are approximately 80 nucleotides in length. Their secondary structure includes four short double-helical elements and three loops (D, anti-codon, and T loops). Lineage: Eukaryota; Fungi; Basidiomycota; Agaricomycetes; Agaricales; Omphalotaceae. The record is from RNAcentral.
GUCCCCGUAGAUUAGUGGUUAGAUCAUCACGUUGUGGCGAUUCAGCAUAUCCGUGGAGACCCAGGCUCGACUCCUGGCAGGGACA